RNAcentral lists this ribosomal RNA (439 nucleotides) under uncultured bacterium. RNAcentral's name for it is "partial 16S ribosomal RNA". It matches the Rfam family "Bacterial small subunit ribosomal RNA", at positions 339 to 795 of the family's 1533-position model. The record is from RNAcentral.
CUACGGGGUGCUCCAGUGAGGAAUAUUGCACAAUGGGGGGAACCCUGAUGCAGCAACGCCGCGUGGAGGAUGACGCAUUUCGGUGUGUAAACUCCUUUUAUAUGUCAAGAAAAUGACGGUAGCAUAUGAAUAAGCACCGGCUAACUCCGUGCCAGCAGCCGCGGUAAUACGGAGGGUGCAAGCGUUACUCGGAAUCACUGGGCGUAAAGGACGCGUAGGCGGGUUGGAAAGUCAGGUGUGAAAUCCUACAGCUUAACUGUAGAACUGCACUUGAAACUUCUAAUCUAGAGUAUGGGAGGGGGAGAUGGAAUUAGUGGUGUAGGGGUAAAAUCCGUAGAUAUCACUAGGAAUACCUAAAGCGAAGGCGAUCUACUAGAACAUUAUUGACGCUGAGACGCGAAAGCGUGGGGAGCAAACAGGAUUAGAUACCCGAGUAGUC